AAAAAUUUAGUUAAAUUAUAACAUUAGUUUGUCAAACUAAAAUUAUUGAAAAAUAAUUUUUA
RNAcentral lists this transfer RNA (62 nucleotides) under Anatis ocellata. Its description in RNAcentral is "tRNA-Asp". Lineage: Eukaryota; Metazoa; Arthropoda; Insecta; Coleoptera; Coccinellidae. The record is from RNAcentral. RNAcentral also lists the same sequence under 2 other names.